RNAcentral lists this long non-coding RNA (259 nucleotides) under Rattus norvegicus (Norway rat). RNAcentral's name for it is "long non-coding RNA NONRATT032039". The record is from RNAcentral. Lineage: Eukaryota; Metazoa; Chordata; Mammalia; Rodentia; Muridae.
AGCCAAGUCCCAAGUGCUUGAAGACGAUCUGUUUAGCCUGAAAUGGCAGGAUGCAGCACAGAUCUUUACAAAGCAGGAUCCCUAAAACACAAGCGAUGGGAGAAUGAGGUAAUGUUUUACUUAUUAUUUUCAGGACUUGGCAUGUCUGUCACUAAUACAGUAACUUUCUUCCUUAAAUAUUUUCAGUGAGAAUGUAGAAAGCUAGUAUAUUUUUGUUUUGUUUUGGUUUUGGGUUUGUUUUUUUAAUUAUUAAUUUCAU